CCCUUAGAUGUUCUGGGCCGCACGCGCGCUACACUGACGAAUGCAACGAGCUUAUAAUAACCUUGGCCGAAAGGUCUGGGUAAUCUCCAAAUUUCGUCGUGAUGGGGAUAGAUUAUUGCAAUUAUUAAUCUUCAACGAGGAAUGCCUAGUAAGCGCAAGUCAUCAGCUUGCGUUGAUUACGUCCCUGCCCUUUGUACACACCGCCCGUCGCUCCUACCGAUUGAAUGAUUUAGUGAGGACUUCGGACUGGGACCGAUGCGGCUUUCGGGCUGCGUCGGUAUUCUGGAAAGAUGUCCAAACUGUAUCAUUUAGAGGAAGUAAAAGUCGUAACA
RNAcentral lists this ribosomal RNA (332 nucleotides) under uncultured eukaryote. RNAcentral describes it as "partial 18S ribosomal RNA". It matches the Rfam family "Eukaryotic small subunit ribosomal RNA", at positions 1470 to 1796 of the family's 1831-position model. The record is from RNAcentral.